GGGGUUGUGGCUCAGUGGUAGAGUGCUUGCUUAUCAUGCGUGAAGAAGCACUGGGUUCAAUCCCCAGCACCCCA
Molecule: transfer RNA, 74 nt
Filed under: Marmota monax (woodchuck)
Lineage: Eukaryota; Metazoa; Chordata; Mammalia; Rodentia; Sciuridae
Rfam family: tRNA
About the family: Transfer RNA (tRNA) molecules are approximately 80 nucleotides in length. Their secondary structure includes four short double-helical elements and three loops (D, anti-codon, and T loops).
Source: Rfam by way of RNAcentral